AAUGAACGCUGGCGGCGUGCUUAACACAUGCAAGUUGGACGAGAAAGGCUGAUUUCGGUUGGCCGAGUAAAGUGGCGCACGGGUGAGUAACGCGUAGGCAACCUACCCUUGUAUUGGGGAUAACCCCGCGAAAGCGGGGCUAAUACCGAAUGAGACCCUGUUCUGGUGGGGACAGGGUGAAAGUCGGCCGCUCGGAGAAGCUGACGUACGAGGAUGGGCCUGCGUCCUAUCAGCUAGUUGGUGGGGUAGUGGCCUACCAAGGCGACGACGGGUAGCUGGUCUGAGAGGAUGAUCAGCCACACUGGCACUGGAACACGGGCCAGACUCCUACGGGAGGCAGCAGUGAGGAAUUUUGCGCAAUGGCCGCAAGGCUGACGCAGCAACGCCGCGUGGGUGAUGAAGGCCUUCGGGU
This 412-nucleotide ribosomal RNA is filed under the name uncultured bacterium. RNAcentral describes it as "bacterial SSU rRNA". It matches the Rfam family "Bacterial small subunit ribosomal RNA", at positions 28 to 423 of the family's 1533-position model. The record is from RNAcentral.